Long non-coding RNA from Homo sapiens (human), 1366 nucleotides. Lineage: Eukaryota; Metazoa; Chordata; Mammalia; Primates; Hominidae. The record is from Ensembl.
GAGUAGCUGGGAUUACAGGCACCACCUAAUUAGCCCGCCACCACGCCCGGCUAAUUUUUGUAUUUUUAGUAGAGACGGGGUUUCACCAUCUUGGCUAGGCUGGUCUUGAACUCCUGACCUCGUGAUCCACCCGCCUCGGCCUCCCAGAGUGCUGGGAUUACAGGCGUGAGCCACCGCACCUGGCCUAAAACUGAUUUUUUAUUAAUUUUGGGGCUUUUAAUAUUUUUUUCUUAUUUCUAAAUUCUGAGGUUAUUUAUAGUAGCCCCAUAUACGGGAUUAGAUAAUCUCUUGUGAUUUUCUAUUUCUGGUAAUUAUUUCUAAUAUAUGUUUUUUUGUUUUUGAGACGGAGUCUCGCUAUGUCGCUCAGGGUGGAGUGCAGUGGCAUGAUCUCCGCUCUUUGUAGCCUCUGCCUCCCGGGUUCAAAUGAUCCUCCCACCUCAGCCCCCCGAGUAGCUUGGACCACAGAGUACGAGUACAUCUGGUUGAAAGAGAAAAGGCAGAGAGAAAAGCAGACUUUUUGGAGUUGUUGUUCUCAGGCACUAACAGAUUCAUCCCUUAUAUGCAUAUGAAUGGACAAUAAGAUUUCUUGGAUAUUUUCAUGGCAAAGGGUAAGAGUGAAGCUAUCCUGGACAAGAACUUUGACAGGACAAUACUAUUCACUCUGAAGGACCAAAAAAUGAGCAGAAAAUUUGGGAUAAAUGUCAACAAGAUUUGAACCCUAAAGAAAAGCAAGCAUCGAGUUAGACAGACGUCCAUAUUCAUUCAACUGGGAAAAUAAAACUGCAGUCCCAACAUCAGAAUUUCCUUGGUCAGUUGGUUAUUGCGGGACAGCAUUCUUCUGCAUGACAGUAUUGUCUCCUUACCAGCCACAGAGGAGGCUGUGAGAGAGAGGAUUUGGGAAAUUGGUGCAAAUGAGAAAUCUUGGAAAUCUAGAACUAAAGCCUUUCAGCAGGAAAUCCAGAUGCUCACUAAGUGACUAGAGCAGCUGCAUCAUCUUUAAGAAGAAGGUGCUCAAGAAUCAUCCCAAGCUGAAGAAAAAAGUAUUGGGAACAAAAAAGACCCUUGAAAUGUCUAGAAAGAAAAAUUGAGAUCAAGGACUUUUUCAAGAGAGAUUAGACUUGGACAGGAAGAAAAAUUUGCAGAUUGCUACUACGCAAAGAUUGGAGGAGAAAAUUCAGAAACUUCAGAGACAGCUCAGUGAUUUGAAAUUGUCAAAUAAAAAUAUGAAAACUCAGCUGACAAGAGUAAAUGUCCUUAAAGACAAAACAAUUGAAGAGCUCAGGCAAUCUUUAGCAAAUGUUGAAAGGAUGAAAGAGAAGGCAAAUGUUGAAACGAUGAAAGAGAAGGCAGUUGUGAAAACAGAAAA